AAGCCCGGACGACACAGGGUCGCUCUUCAGUGACUCUGACUUCUGCCGCAUAUUAAACACGAGGAGGCAGGGCACAUGGGCAUCCCAUUAAUUCUCCCUCCCCGUGGAGCUGAAGGGACUGCAGAGAGCCAAAAUUCUCGAUGGUACUGUCAAGAGGCAAGGCCUGGUGGCUCAGUCGAGGUUAAUGUCGGUGUAUUGAAACAUGACCAAAGCAACUUGAGGAGGAAAGGGUUUAUUCAGCUUACACUUCCACAUCAUAAUCCAUCCUCGAAGAACGUCAGGGCAGGAACUCAAGCAGGAGCAGAGGACUUGUCUGGAGUGCUGAAGCAGUACCUAUACCCACUCAGGAUGGGAUGAUGCCCCAGUAAAGCCAUCUAAGUAGAAAAUCUCUUUAAGUCACAAAGGGCUCGCUACUUCUGACCCACCGAACACAUAGCUUGGUCCAGUCUUCCUGGGCUAGGCUCAGUGUGUUCCAUUCGGUGUCAGUGGGAGCAGUCACCCAGCUGGAAUCCCGUGGUAUAACUCGAUAUUGGAUUCAUCUUGGGGUUUACUGGGUAUUCAGCUGAAGGCAAGGAAGAGAAGCGUCACUCUGGACUUCUAGCCUUGAUAAAGGUAAAAGUCCAAAAACAUUCCAAGUACGGCUGGAAAGACAGUUCAGUUGUUAAAGUACUUGCCACACAAACAUAAGGACCCAACGUUAAUCCCCAGAACCUACAUUUAAACAAAACAAAACAAAACCAAAAGACA
Molecule: long non-coding RNA, 747 nt
Organism: Mastomys coucha (southern multimammate mouse)
Lineage: Eukaryota; Metazoa; Chordata; Mammalia; Rodentia; Muridae
Exons: 3
Source: RefSeq, a predicted model, not a curated record